CUUCUCCGACAUUCACCUGCCUGCGCUACGGGCCACUGGUUCCUCUCCCCUCGGCCCACUCGGCUUCGUCAGUCACGGAGUAACCCUGCCCAACCUUUGCAAGAAGGCAUCCGAAGGUGUCCCGGAAACAAGACCAGCUGGGCCAGGUGUGGGGGAAGAGAGACAGAAGAUAAUCAAGCCAGCCCCUCCCAACAUCCUAGAUGCCUUGAGCUCUGUGUGUUGAGAAAGAGGUGAUCAUUUGUAGGAUCAACAGAAAGAAUGCUAUGACUCAUUAAUAAUCCUGCACCAGGCCAAGGGUGUGACAUUCCAGGCCUUCAAGAGUGAUCCUGGCUUAAGGCUCUCCAUCCCUUUUGAGACCCCUUUGUGAAAUGUGCCAGAUUCAAUUCAGCUCUGUUGCUGACACAAUUCUACGCUGACUGAAGCAGAACACCUAUGCUAGAAAUUCUUUGAGGGAGGACCUGAAGUUCUCUAUUGAGCCACUGCAGGUAGAAGGAGGUCCGGGAAGCCACUGCAAGAACUUCU
Hippopotamus amphibius kiboko is the source of this 522-nucleotide long non-coding RNA. RefSeq lists it as uncharacterized. NCBI's taxonomy places the organism in Eukaryota, Metazoa, Chordata, Mammalia, Artiodactyla, Hippopotamidae. The record is from RefSeq and is a predicted model, not a curated record. The transcript has 3 exons.